AAAACAAGCUUUUAAGAGCAGAUGGCGGAUGCCUUGCCAAAGAGAGGCGAUGAAGGACGUACUAGACUGCGAUAAGCUAUGCGGAGCUGUCAAGGAGCUUUGAUGCGUAGAUGUCCGAAUGGGGCAACCCAACUAAUAGAGAUAUUAGUUACUCUUUAAUAGAGAGCGAACCUAGUGAAGUGAAACAUCUCAGUAACUAGAGGAAAAGAAAUCAACGAGAUUCCCUAAGUAGUGGCGAGCGAACGGGGAAAAGGGCAAACCGAGUGCUUGCAUUCGGGGUUGAGGACUGCAAUAUCCAAGAGAACGCUUUAGCAGAGUUACCUGGAAAGGUAAGCCAUAGAAAGUGAUAGCCUUGUAUGCGACAAGGCGUUCUCAGGUAGCAGUAUCCAGAGUAGGCCAGGACACGAGAAAUCCAGGUUGAAGCCGGGGAGACCACUCUCCAACCCUAAAUACUACUCUUUGAGCGAUAGCGAACAAGUACCGUGAGGGAAAGGUGAAAAGAACCGCAGUGAGCGGAGUGAAAUAGAACCUGAAACCAUCUGCUUACAAUCAUUCAGAGCCCUAUGAUUUAUCAGGGUGAUGGACUGCCUUUUGCAUAAUGAUCCUGCGAGUUGUGGUAUCUGGCAAGGUUAAGUGAAUGCGAAGCCGUAGCGAAAGCGAGUCUUAAUAGGGCGAACAAGUCAGAUGCUGCAGACCCGAAGCUAAGUGAUCUAUCCAUGGCCAAGUUGAAACGCGUGUAAUAGCGCGUGGAGGACUGAACUCGUACCCAUUGAAACGGGUUGGGAUGAGCUGUGGAUAGGGGUGAAAGGCCAAACAAACUUAGUGAUAGCUGGUUCUCUUCGAAAUAUAUUUAGGUAUAGCCUCAAGUGAUAAUAAAAGGGGGUAGAGCACUGAUUGGGCUAGGGCUGCUCGCCGCGGUACCAAACCCUAUCAAACUUCGAAUACCUUUUAUCGUAUCUUGGGAGUCAGGCGGUGGGUGAUAAAAUCAAUCGUCAAAAGGGGAACAACCCAGACUACCAAAUAAGGUCCCUAAGUUCUAUUCUGAGUGGAAAAAGAUGUGUGGCUACUCAAACAACCAGGAGGUUGGCUUAGAAGCAGCCAUCCUUUAAAGAAAGCGUAACAGCUCACUGGUCUAGUGGUCAUGCGCUGAAAAUAUAACGGGGCUAAGAUAGACACCGAAUUUGUAGAUUGUGUUAAACACAGUGGUAGAAGAGCGUUCAUACCAGCGUUGAAGGUAUACCGGUAAGGAGUGCUGGAGCGGUAUGAAGUGAGCAUGCAGGAAUGAGUAACGAUAAGAUAUAUGAGAAUUGUAUCCGCCGUAAAUCUAAGGUUUCCUACGCGAUGGUCGUCAUCGUAGGGUUAGUCGGGUCCUAAGCCGAGUCCGAAAGGGGUAGGUGAUGGCAAAUUGGUUAAUAUUCCAAUACCGACUCAUGGAGCGUGAUGGGGGGACGCAUAGGGUUAAGCGAGCUAGCUGAUGGAAGCGCUAGUCUAAGGGCGUAGAUUGGAGGGAAGGCAAAUCCACCUCUGUAUUUGAAACCCAAACAGGCUCUUUGAGUCCUUUUAGGACAAAGGGAGAAUCGCUGAUACCGUCGUGCCAAGAAAAGCCUCUAAGCAUAUCCAUAGUCGUCCGUACCGCAAACCGACACAGGUAGAUGAGAUGAGUAUUCUAAGGCGCGUGAAAGAACUCUGGUUAAGGAACUCUGCAAACUAGCACCGUAAGUUCGCGAUAAGGUGUGCCACAGCGAUGUGGUCUCAGCAAAGAGUCCCUCCCGACUGUUUACCAAAAACACAGCACUUUGCCAACUCGUAAGAGGAAGUAUAAGGUGUGACGCCUGCCCGGUGCUCGAAGGUUAAGAGGAUGCGUCAGUCGCAAGAUGAAGCGUUGAAUUGAAGCCCGAGUAAACGGCGGCCGUAACUAUAACGGUCCUAAGGUAGCGAAAUUCCUUGUCGGUUAAAUACCGACCUGCAUGAAUGGCGUAACGAGAUGGGAGCUGUCUCAACCAGAGAUUCAGUGAAAUUGUAGUGGAGGUGAAAAUUCCUCCUACCCGCGGCAAGACGGAAAGACCCCGUGGACCUUUACUACAACUUAGCACUGCUAAUGGGAAUAUCAUGCGCAGGAUAGGUGGGAGGCUUUGAAGUAAGGGCUUUGGCUCUUAUGGAGCCAUCCUUGAGAUACCACCCUUGAUGUUUCUGUUAGCUAACUGGCCUGUGUUAUCCACAGGCAGGACAAUGCUUGGUGGGUAGUUUGACUGGGGCGGUCGCCUCCUAAAAAGUAACGGAGGCUUGCAAAGGUUGGCUCAUUGCGGUUGGAAAUCGCAAGUUGAGUGUAAUGGCACAAGCCAGCCUGACUGUAAGACAUACAAGUCAAGCAGAGACGAAAGUCGGUCAUAGUGAUCCGGUGGUUCUGUGUGGAAGGGCCAUCGCUCAAAGGAUAAAAGGUACCCCGGGGAUAACAGGCUGAUCUCCCCCAAGAGCUCACAUCGACGGGGAGGUUUGGCACCUCGAUGUCGGCUCAUCGCAUCCUGGGGCUGGAGCAGGUCCCAAGGGUAUGGCUGUUCGCCAUUUAAAGCGGUACGCGAGCUGGGUUCAGAACGUCGUGAGACAGUUCGGUCCCUAUCUGCCGUGGGCGUAGGAAAGUUGAGGAGAGCUGUCCCUAGUACGAGAGGACCGGGAUGGACGUGUCACUGGUGCACCAGUUGUUCUGCCAAGAGCAUCGCUGGGUAGCUACACACGGAUGUGAUAACUGCUGAAAGCAUCUAAGCAGGAAGCCAACUCCAAGAUAAACUUUCCCUGAAGCUCGCACAAAGACUAUGUGCUUGAUAGGGUAGAUGUGUGAGUGCAGUAAUGCAUUUAGCUGACUACUACUAAUAGAGCGUUUGGCUUGUUUUU
This 2889-nucleotide ribosomal RNA is filed under the name Helicobacter pylori. RNAcentral's name for it is "23S ribosomal RNA". It matches the Rfam family "Bacterial large subunit ribosomal RNA". The record is from RNAcentral. Lineage: Bacteria; Pseudomonadati; Campylobacterota; Epsilonproteobacteria; Campylobacterales; Helicobacteraceae.